Molecule: long non-coding RNA, 1999 nt
Organism: Corvus hawaiiensis (hawaiian crow)
Lineage: Eukaryota; Metazoa; Chordata; Aves; Passeriformes; Corvidae
Exons: 2
Source: RefSeq, a predicted model, not a curated record
GGGUACUGCUCUACGUGGUGCGCAAGGAUAUCUGGCCCCACAGCACUGCCUAGUCCUCGGAGAUUACUUGCCUCAGCACAGGGGAAUGAUAAGAAGCCGUCUCAACCCAGUACUCCUGUGUUGGCUAAACAUGAUACAAAAUGUGAUAUCCGCCUGACGUCAUCCCUGCAAUCACCCCUUCUCAUGCCGUGCUGCAGAAACUCGUUCUUAAUCCUCUGGACUAGACUGGAUUAAACUCUCCUGGCUGUGCUAAUAGAGCUGGCUCCAGUCACCAAGGCAACUGCAGGCUCCUCAGCCCCCGCAAGGAGCGCACCCACACGGUGAGGUGAAGAUCCUGGCUCCAGCACACCAGUCCUGCAAUCCACACACUUCAUUUGUACGUUGUGCUUUUUUAUUUAGCUGUAUCCUGCUUGUGGCAGAGCAUCUGUAUGGCCCUUCAGAAGAUCCAGGACCAGGUAUGAGAGAUCCUGUGCCUACUGUGAUGAGAACCAAUGGGCUUCUGGGACACCUGCUGGUGGACUGGUGCUUGACACACAAGGUCCUGAGAAGUUCAGGCCUGCACAAGGAACAUAUCCAAACUCCAGAGCUUGGAUUAAACGUCUCCUAGUUCUCUUAGUGAAUAUCUGUGAUGAACAAUACAGACUGAGGGUAAAUCAGAUCUUGAAUAUAGGUUCAAACCUAAACCAAACUCCCUAUAUAUUAUGGUUUACACAGAGCCCAGCCACCACUAGAGGGAACAGAAGGCCACAAUGAAUGACAAAAUUACAAGUUCACACUCUAAAAUGAAUGCAGUCGAUGAGAAAAUACUAGCAGACAUUCUCCAUUAGAAGUGGAGAUGAAAUAUAAACAUCUGAUCUGGUAAGAGGAGGAAGUGGAGACUGGAAAUGGAGAACAAGGGGUUUUGUAUUUUUGCCUGUCCUCCAAGCACCAACUCCUCCUAAAGGCAGAGGAUUUUAAAAAGACACCUUUCAUCCAAGUCUCCUUGAAGCUGUUGAUAGGAAAUUAGGCAAAGCUACAGGCUAGGACAGCAUCUAUUUGGUGGAAAAGAAGAUAUCACCUUUUUUGUGUGUAUCAAAAAGAGCUUACAAGCAUCCCAAACCCUCUCUUUGCAAUAGGCAUAUGUUGCACAUGGAAGCAGAACCAGCUGGGUUUGCUGUCUUGGGCUCACUCCUGGGUGCUCUGUGAACACUUAGCUCUGCUCUGGGCUGCAGAGUCCAGCCAUCCUUGUCAUGCACAACAGUGGAAAAAGAAAAAAACAGUAUGACCAGGUAGAAAGUGGAAGUCAAUUUUUUCCCAAGAGGUUAGAAAUAACCUCUGCUUCAGCAGCCAGUUAUCCAGAACUGAGAGAAAUGGGAACUCACAAUUGAGACUAAACAGUACAAAUCCCUGCAAGCCCUUUCCUGUCCUCAGGGUUAGCAAGGAAAGGGCUUCACCAGUCCCUGACGCUGACUGUUCCUUUGGUAUGUGCUGGGACAAGAGCAGGGUGCCUUGCUGGGUACCCUGAUUCCAGGCACUUCACAGCAGCCCUCCUGCUGGCUGUGGUGCAGAGCAGCCAGGAGGCAAAACGGAUACAGGGCAGAGCAGUCCUCACAUGGUAAUUCACCCUCAAGUUUAAGGUCAGCUGAAUAGCAGUGUGGGAAGGAAUUGCACUCUUACUGCCUCUUGUGUCAGUCAUUUCAUCUUAUGUUCAAGUCUUCCCUUUCCUAGCUCAUGGAUUUAUAUGCCUUCAUCCUCUGUUUUACUAUGUCAGGAAAACUGCACUGACUUCCAAAGACUUGCUCCUGAUUCACACUGCUACAAUCAAAAGGAGAAGCAGGACUCCACAUUAUUGUUCCCAGGGAUGAAUCCUGAAGGUCUCUUGAUCUGUGGAGCAGCUACAAGGAAAUUUGUAGUACGAACAGUCCCAUUACUGCCUUUUGUCCAUAUGAGUCCUCUUGAUCCUGUUAACUGCUAUUAACCUAUUUCCUAAGAAAUACACUUUCUUAUCUUUCGGCCAGAA